GACGAACGCUGGCGGCGUGCUUAACACAUGCAAGUCGAACGGAAAGGCCCCUUCGGGGGUCCUCGGGUGGCGAACAGGUGAGUAACACGUGAGUAACCUGCCCUUGACUUCGGGAUAACUUCAGGAAACUGGGGCUAAUACCGGAUAGGAAUCCUUGCUGCAUGGUGGGGGUUGGAAAGCUUCGGCGGUUUUGGAUGGACUCGCGGCUUAUCAGCUUGUUGGUGGGGUAGUGGCUUACCAAGGCUUUGACGGGUAGCCGGCCUGAGAGGGCGACCGGCCACAUUGGGACUGAGAUACGGCCCAGACUCCUACGGGAGGCAGCAGUGGGGAAUAUUGCACAAUGGGCGGAAGCCUGAUGCAGCAACGCCGCGUGCGGGAUGACGGCCUUCGGGUUGUAAACCGCUUUCAGCAGGGGCGAAGCUUGUGGUGACGGUACCUGCAGAAGAAGCACCGGCUAACUACGUG
RNAcentral lists this ribosomal RNA (465 nucleotides) under uncultured bacterium. RNAcentral describes it as "partial 16S ribosomal RNA". It matches the Rfam family "Bacterial small subunit ribosomal RNA", at positions 28 to 507 of the family's 1533-position model. The record is from RNAcentral.